CCUACGGGAGGCAGCAGUGGGGGAUAUUGCACAAUGGGGGAAACCCUGAUGCAGCGACGCCGCGUGAGUGAAGAAGUAUUUCGGUAUGUAAAGCUCUAUCAGCAGGGAAGAAAAUGACAGUACCUGACUAAGAAGCCCCGGCUAACUACGUGCCAGCAGCCGCGGUAAUACGUAGGGGGCAAGCGUUAUCCGGAUUUACUGGGUGUAAAGGGAGCGUAGACGGCAGCACAAGUCUGGAGUGAAAUGCCGGGGCUUAACCCCGGAACUGCUUUGGAAACUGUGCAGCUAGAGUGCAGGAGAGGUAAGUGGAAUUCCUAGUGUAGCGGUGAAAUGCGUAGAUAUUAGGAGGAACACCAGUGGCGAAGGCGGCUUACUGGACUGUAACUGACGUUGAGGCUCGAAAGCGUGGGGAGCAAACAGGAUUAGAUACCCGGGUAGUC
Molecule: ribosomal RNA, 440 nt
Filed under: uncultured bacterium
Lineage: Bacteria
Description: partial 16S ribosomal RNA
Rfam family: Bacterial small subunit ribosomal RNA
Source: RNAcentral